CAACGAUGCUCUUGGAGGAUAGGGACAGAGACUGCACGCCGCGCCACUCACUUUGUUCAGCAUCUGAAAGCCAAAAGCAAAGAGGAAAAUGAUAAUAAAACUAAACGAUUCAGCUACCGAGCUGUAGCUAAGGGCCAGCCUUAUUUCUCCCAAAGCGACCCAGCAGCUAUGCUUACCUCGGGGUUAAUCUCCAUCGGCUUCAGCUGCAUCUUCGCGGAUGGCACCUGCAGACACAAACCCGAGGAGCCGAAAAAACAGCCGGUGGAGCCGCCCAGGCUGCUGUUAUAAAGCGCCGGCCUCGCUCACUGGGAAAGCCUGAGCAGGGGAGACAGGAGCAGAAACAAGCAGAGGAGGAAGGCCAAGAGGGCUCGAACUCCCCCAUGCACCGCACAGAAUGGUACAAGCCAAGCCCCCAAACCUUGCAGUCUCACUCGCCGCAGUGCUACCCGGACUGGGCAUGGUAGCACGCUCCUGUGAUUCCAGCAGCUGAGAGAGAGGCCGACCCCACAUGGAAUCCAUUGUGCAGUGCUAGAGGAGGUCAGAAGAGGGCAUUGGAUCCUCCAGAACUGGAGUUAUACGGUAAUCUCGUGGUGGUUGUGAACCACCAUGUGGAUGGAUAUUGAGGUCCAAAUGCUGGUCCUGUGCAAGAGCAUCCAGUGCUCUUAAGUGCUGAGCCAUCUCUUUAGCUCCAGUCUCUUAAAAAACAAACAAACGAACGAACGAACAGCAAGGGAGCUGGGUAUGACUACACAUACUCUAAUUCUAGCACUCAGGAUGCUGAAACAGGAGGAUGGCCUGACUGGGAGAUCUAAGGAGAAUCUGUUGCCACCCCCAUCCCUCCCCAUAAAGGCAGAAUAAAAGAACGUCCUAUAAACAAAUAAACAAGCAACCCAAAUAAAACGAAACCAAGAUCUCUCCACCUUUUCUUUGCUUUUUCAGACUUUGUAAUGAGGCCCUUUAGAGUGCAGGGUAUUCGGCAGGACAAGCAGAGCGGGAGACCAUCAGUUCUUUCUUUGAUCAAGAAGACUACGUUCCUUAGCAAACUGGUGUGUCUUAUCUCUUAUGUGAUGAGCCUGGAAAGAGAGCACAGCCACUGAGGAUGGUACAGCAUGGAUGGAUGGUAUGCUACAGAGACUUGGGAGCCCAACUAUGAGUGGCUGACUGGCAUGGUAGGUUCAGGGAAGAAUUGGCCUGUGAAGGAAAUGAUCUUGAAAAGUGGACAAGGUGCAGGAGGUAGGAGUGGGUCCUGGGCAAAGCAGGGAGUAUAUCUCAGCCUCAGGGAAUAGCACAGCAGAGGCCUGUUGAUGCAUGCAAGCACAUGACCUGCUUGCCGAUGGGCGAUCAAGAAUGGGCAAAGCAUCAUGGGUGAUGGGUGGCAGAGGGGAUGAGACAUUCCUUUCUCCCUGCUGAGACUUCCAUUGAACCGAUGAGUUCUGAAUAGUGGGGUUCUGAAUAGAAGAUGUCCCCCCACCCCACCAGUGUAGAAUCUGAAGGGAGGCAUAUAUUACUCUAUGUUACUCUGUGUUGGCGGCGAGCUAUCUGACAGCCAACCUUCCCAUACAUUUUAUUGGGCAUACACUAAUGACAGUAAGUUCCUUUCGCUGUAUGCAAGAGAUGGCUCACACGAUGGAGAAUUUAAUCUUGUUAGUUCGUUAUUUAUGUGUCCUAAAUUUUGUUCAAUAAAAAUGAAACACUCCUAUU
RNAcentral lists this long non-coding RNA (1701 nucleotides) under Mus caroli (Ryukyu mouse). RNAcentral describes it as "ubiquitin carboxy-terminal hydrolase L1, opposite strand (MGP_CAROLIEiJ_G0003681.1)". The record is from RNAcentral. Lineage: Eukaryota; Metazoa; Chordata; Mammalia; Rodentia; Muridae.